CACGGCGCAGGGGGGGGCUCCGGGGCGCGGGGGGAGGCCGGAGGCUGGAAAGGUGAGAGCGCGGAUUGCCGGAGUGCCGAAAGGAAGCUGGCAUUUGCGAGCUGUGAGUGACGAGCGUACGAAAAAGGAUAGAUACUGUUCAGUGGACUUGGAAUUGUCUUUAGAGUUCAGUUAGAAGACGCACCCAGGACAUCCCACAUGGACCCCUUCACAACAACCACUGUGAUGUGAUGGGCAUACCAUUUCCAGGUACUAGGGUCUCCAAUCUGUCUAGCAUCUAGCCAGUAUCAAGGGGUUAGGAACUACUGUGAUGCAUGAGAUGAGUCAUCUGCUGCUGAGAUCUUGGAAGCAAGACUAAUCAUUAACACGCAUAUUGUUGGCAGUCUAAACUGUUCCCAUAUCACAACCCAGAGUUAUAGGAGAUGGGAACUCUCACCUUGCCUAGCAGAAACGUCACUGAUCUCUGCAUUCUCACCACAGCAUUGCUCACACAGUGGAAUAAAUUGUACUUGCUUGUCAGAACACAGUUUUUAGUUAGGCCGGCAAGAAGUUUCAGUGUCUUAGAGAACUCAGAGAAAUACUUUUUCAGAGACUUUUAUUAUUAUUAUUAUUAUUUUAUUAUUAUUUUUUUUAGACAUGGGGACUUCUCCUUUCGUGAACAGGUCUUCCUCCUAUUCCGUGAUUUUGGCCAACAAGGUUCACAAAGAGAAUGUGCUGCAAAGAGGCUAUGAGUGGACAAGUACUAAAAUUCUGCGUAUUCCCACUGCAACAGCUGUUAACCCUAAUAGAAAUUAGGCAGAUGCCUGCCCAAUAUUAUUAUUAGAUUUUAUGUUUCACACAAAUGAUAAAUCAUUGCUAUAAAAGUUGAGAUAAUUUCCACUGGUAACAUUGAGAAUACAUGAUGUAUUGCUCCUUUUCCAUUUACAUCUCUUUCCAUCUCUUUUCCUUUGAUCUCUUUUCUUUUUCACAGUUUUUGUAGACCCUGUUUUGUUCUUCUUUUCAGAAUUAAAACUUCAUGAAGUAGUCCAGAGGAGGUCAGAUUAAACUUGCAUUAGGAAUACUGUGAAGAGACAUUUUCAAUCCAAGCAAGUAAACAAUUUCUAUCUUUGAAAUAAUAGGAAUGCAUAUCUGCCAACAUUACAUUCUGGCGAACAUUUAAUAGAAUUUUAAAAAAAAUAAUAAAAGAAACAUUUAGUUUGGUCCUAAAAAAAGUAUAUAUAUCUUUAAGACAUUACACAUUUUAUUUUAUUUUGUUCUAUUUUUUUUUCUAAUACAUUAUUUCCUAAUCAUUAAUGUAACAUUGUUUUUGGAAGUUACUAAUUACACUACUCUGAUAACCACAUGGGACCUUAAUUAAAGAUUGUAGUCCAUUGCAAAAUGUACAUGUGUAUAAUGAAAAGGCAAUUAAAAUAUGUUGUUAGAUAACUUGGUUUUAUUACUUAAACUAAACCAAUUAGAUACAUUUUCUUAAAAAAAAAAAGUCAGAAAGCAUGAUAUUUCUCUAUGUUGCAGUUGUUCUCUGCUAUCCAGCAGUGAAAACAAUAAUUAUUAUCAGUUCUUCAUGUUCUUAGAGUUGGCAGGGAUAUUAGUUUGCAUGAAGAAUAUAGCCAUGCAAAAGCACAGUAUCACUUUAGAGGAGAGGCUGCCAACGUCUCUGGUGAGACUUGCCAAAAAAACAGUCACAGUAGGGUGUCUCUACGAGCUCUCUAUCCCUGUGCGUAUAGGUCUUGCUCUUAAGGAUAAUCACCUGCCACUGAAUGGAGCUAUUCACUAAGGCCAAGGGAUUGACUUAAAUACAGUCUCAAGCCUUUAAAAACUGCAAAGGUGCCAAUGCUCUCACUUUAUCAGGAGUCUCCGGAUACUUGGUUAACUUGGGCUCAGUGCCAUAUUAACACUACCACCCAGCCUUGGAACUGAAGUUGCUUUGUAGCUGGCCAGCUGGAAUUUGGGAUAGGUUGACACAUGAAUCUUUAUAUCUGCAUAUACAGCCUUGUUCUCAGUCUUCAAACGUAUCUAAAAAGAAAAGAAAAGAAAAGAAAAGAAAAGAAAAGAAAAGAAAAGAAAAGAAAAGAAAAGAAAAGAAAAGAAAAGAAAAAGAAAAAGAAAAAAUCUUCCUGGAAAUCUAUGUCCCACUGUUUUUAUCAUCCUUCUUUUACAUUUUACAUGAGACAAGGUUAACUGAGCCCAGGAAAUGAAUAUGGUAUGGUGAACUCAUAUAUAUGUCACUCAGCUGAGAGCAAGUAGCUAGUUUCCAUGAAAAAAAUCUUGAUCUGAUGUGAAAGAAUUCAGAUCAAAAGAGUGAGAUGCUGAUUUUGAGAGCCUACACACCUUGGAGGAAUAAGCACCAAAGGGAAUGAGUUUGAAAAGUGGUGAUAAAUUCCACUCCCUGUCUAGGCUGGCAGUUAAACCAUUCAUCCAGUAAGCAGAUCUUGAAAUCUUGAGGCAAUUGAUGCUUCCUUCUCCCCAAACAGCAGUGCCUCUCUGACCUCCUAAGAGAGAAGCAGGAUUUUGGUGACAAGAGUUAUUGAUAAUUUUUUGCCUUUGCUCUUGAAAUUAAGUCAUUGUAUCCAGAAGAGUCAAGUGACUUAAAAAAAAAAAAUAGUUCUCCAACAGUCCUUUGGGUGGGAGAGAAAUGGAAUUCUAGCUCUAGUUCAGAAUAGAUAUGUAUUUUUUGUGCCAUUUGGUUACAAGGACAAUGAAAUAGGAAUAUUCCAAUAGGAGUAAAGACCUGGAAAAAAAAAGAAAAAAAA
This is a long non-coding RNA of Cygnus atratus (black swan), 2750 nucleotides long. RefSeq lists it as uncharacterized. The record is from RefSeq and is a predicted model, not a curated record. The transcript has 3 exons. NCBI's taxonomy places the organism in Eukaryota, Metazoa, Chordata, Aves, Anseriformes, Anatidae.